UGCGUAGGCGGAAUAUUAAGUCAGUGGUGAAAUCCUGCGGCUCAACCGUAGAACUGCCAUUGAUACUGAUAUUCUUGAAUGUAGUUGAGGUAGGCGGAAUGUGUAAUGUAGCGGUGAAAUGCUUAGAUAUUACACAGAACACCGAUUGCGAAGGCAGCUUACUAAACUAUGAUUGACGCUGAGGCACGAAAGCGUGGGGAGCGAACAGGAUUAGAUACCCUGGUAGUCCC
Molecule: ribosomal RNA, 230 nt
Filed under: uncultured bacterium
Lineage: Bacteria
Description: partial 16S ribosomal RNA
Rfam family: Bacterial small subunit ribosomal RNA
Source: RNAcentral